Molecule: ribosomal RNA, 256 nt
Filed under: uncultured bacterium
Lineage: Bacteria
Description: partial 16S ribosomal RNA
Rfam family: Bacterial small subunit ribosomal RNA
Source: RNAcentral
UACAGAGGAGCCAAGCGUUGUCCGGAUUGACUGGGCGUAAAGCGCACGCAGGCGGUCGCGCGCGUUGGGGUGUGAAAAUCUGGCCGCUUAACGGCCAGGCGCCAUCCCAUACGGCACGACUGGAGUGAUGCAGAGGUCGAUGGAAUUGCCGGUGUAGUGGUGAAAUGCGUAGAGAUCGGCAGGAACACCCAGGGGGAAACCAGUCGAACUGGGCAUCUACUGACGCUGAGGUGCGAGAGCGUGGGGAGCGAACCGG